GACGAACGCUGGCGGCGUGCUUAACACAUGCAAGUCGAACGGAAAGGCCCUGCUUUUGUGGGGUGCUCGAGUGGCGAACGGGUGAGUAACACGUAAGUAACCUGCCCUUGACUUUGGGAUAACUUCAGGAAACUGGGGCUAAUACCGGAUAGGAGCUCCUGCUGCAUGGUGGGGGUUGGAAAGUUUCGGCGGUUGGGGCUGGACUCGCGGCUUAUCAGCUUGUUGGGGGGGUAGUGGCUUACCAAGGCUUUGACGGGUAGCCGGCCUGGGAGGGUGACCGGCCACAUUGGGACUGAGAUACGGCCCAGACUCCUACGGGAGGCAGCAGUGGGGAAUAUUGCACAAUGGGCGGAAGCCUGAUGCAGCAACGCCGCGUGCGGGAUGACGGCCUUCGGGUUGUAAACCGCUUUCGCCUGUGACGAAGCGUGAGUGACGGUAAUGGGUAAAGAAGCACCGGCUAACUACGUG
RNAcentral lists this ribosomal RNA (468 nucleotides) under uncultured bacterium. RNAcentral describes it as "partial 16S ribosomal RNA". It matches the Rfam family "Bacterial small subunit ribosomal RNA", at positions 28 to 507 of the family's 1533-position model. The record is from RNAcentral.